Molecule: ribosomal RNA, 469 nt
Filed under: uncultured Streptococcus sp.
Lineage: Bacteria; Bacillati; Bacillota; Bacilli; Lactobacillales; Streptococcaceae
Description: bacterial SSU rRNA
Rfam family: Bacterial small subunit ribosomal RNA
Source: RNAcentral
ACGGGGGCCCGCACAAGCGGUGGAGCAUGUGGUUUAAUUCGAAGCGAACGCGAAGAACCUUACCAGGUCUUGACAUCCCGAUGCUAUUUCUAGAGAUAGAAAGUUACUUCGGUACAUCGGUGACAGGUGGUGCAUGGUUGUCGUCAGCUCGUGUCGUGAGAUGUUGGGUUAAGUCCCGCAACGAGCGCAACCCCUAUUGUUAGUUGCCAUCAUUCAGUUGGGCACUCUAGCGAGACUGCCGGUAAUAAACCGGAGGAAGUGGGGAUGACGUCAAAUCAUCAUGCCCCUUAUGACCUGGGCUACACACGUGCUACAAUGGUUGGUACAACGAGUUGCGAGUCGGUGACGGCGAGCUAAUCUCUUAAAGCCAAUCUCAGUUCGGAUUGUAGGCUGCAACUCGCCUACAUGAAGUCGGAAUCGCUAGGUAAUCGCGGAUCAGCACGCCGCGGUGAAUACGUUCCCGGGCCUU